AGCACACAAUGAAGCUAUUAUCUUAUUGUGUAAUGCACGCGGUAUUGGGUGCUUAAUUACACAUGAGACGCUGCAACCAUGCCAAAUUUUCAGGUGCUACGCUCUAUCGUUUGAUUGUCCAAGGAUGAAUAGACUGAACGCGAGGAUUUGUGUAAAUGACGUAAAUGUAAAUAGCCAUAUAGAACUCGGCUUGAUGCCUCGUAUGUGCUAAUUUAUGCCUUGGCUUCCAUAGGCCGAACAAUUUGCUUGAAACGCCCAUGACAUUUCCAUUAAAAAGCGUUUUCACUUCA
Xenia sp. Carnegie-2017 is the source of this 290-nucleotide long non-coding RNA. RefSeq lists it as uncharacterized. NCBI's taxonomy places the organism in Eukaryota, Metazoa, Cnidaria, Anthozoa, Malacalcyonacea, Xeniidae. The record is from RefSeq and is a predicted model, not a curated record. The transcript is spliced from 2 exons.